Molecule: ribosomal RNA, 549 nt
Filed under: Bifidobacterium longum subsp. suillum
Lineage: Bacteria; Bacillati; Actinomycetota; Actinomycetes; Bifidobacteriales; Bifidobacteriaceae
Description: bacterial SSU rRNA
Rfam family: Bacterial small subunit ribosomal RNA
Source: RNAcentral
UCUCCUGGAAACGGGUGGUAAUGCCGGAUGCUCCAGUUGAUCGCAUGGUCUUCUGGGAAAGCUUUCGCGGUAUGGGAUGGGGUCGCGUCCUAUCAGCUUGACGGCGGGGUAACGGCCCACCGUGGCUUCGACGGGUAGCCGGCCUGAGAGGGCGACCGGCCACAUUGGGACUGAGAUACGGCCCAGACUCCUACGGGAGGCAGCAGUGGGGAAUAUUGCACAAUGGGCGCAAGCCUGAUGCAGCGACGCCGCGUGAGGGAUGGAGGCCUUCGGGUUGUAAACCUCUUUUAUCGGGGAGCAAGCGAGAGUGAGUUUACCCGUUGAAUAAGCACCGGCUAACUACGUGCCAGCAGCCGCGGUAAUACGUAGGGUGCAAGCGUUAUCCGGAAUUAUUGGGCGUAAAGGGCUCGUAGGCGGUUCGUCGCGUCCGGUGUGAAAGUCCAUCGCUUAACGGUGGAUCCGCGCCGGGUACGGGCGGGCUUGAGUGCGGUAGGGGAGACUGGAAUUCCCGGUGUAACGGUGGAAUGUGUAGAUAUCGGAAAGAACACC